UACGUAGGGGGCAAGCGUUGUCCGGACUUACUGGGCGUAAAGGGUGCGUAGGCGGCCUGCUGCGUCGGUGCUGAAAGCGCCCGGCUUAACCGGGCGAGGCGUGCCGAUACGAGCGGGCUGGAGCCUUGGCGAGGGUGGCGGAACUCCUGGUGUAGCGGUGGAAUGCGCAGAUAUCAGGAGGAACACCGAUGGCGAAGGCAGGUCUCUGGGCACUACUGACGCUGAGAAGCGAAAGCACGGGGGAGCGAACAGG
RNAcentral lists this ribosomal RNA (253 nucleotides) under uncultured bacterium. RNAcentral describes it as "partial 16S ribosomal RNA". It matches the Rfam family "Bacterial small subunit ribosomal RNA", at positions 524 to 776 of the family's 1533-position model. The record is from RNAcentral.